This 66-nucleotide transfer RNA is filed under the name Zabrus constrictus. RNAcentral's name for it is "tRNA-Leu". Lineage: Eukaryota; Metazoa; Arthropoda; Insecta; Coleoptera; Carabidae. The record is from RNAcentral.
UCUAAUAUGGCAGAGUAGUGCAAUGAAUUUAAGCUUCAUAUAUAAAGUUGUUUUCUUUUAUUAGAA